UAUUUACAACCAAUUGUAAAAGGAGAAGGGCCGGAGGUACGUGAGGGUCAUAGUGCAUCAGUUGUUGGCAAAUGCCUCUUCAAUCUUCAUCUUUGGUGGUUUUAGAAAAUCUGCUGAUAAUGACAAUGAAGUCUACUACAAUGACCUUUACAUACUGAAUACAGAGACACUUGUUUGGACGCAUCCUACAACAUUAGGCACGCCGCCAUCUCCUCGUGCGAGCCACACUUGCUCAUCGUGGAAGAACAAAAUUAUUGUGAUAGGGGGUAUAGACGAGCGUGAUUCUUAUUUGUCUGACGUUCAUAUCCUUGACACCAAUACUCUAAUUUGGAGGGAGCUGAGUACAUCAGGCCAAUUGUUGGCCCCUCGGUCUGCUCAUUCGACAGUUUCUUUUGGCAAAAACUUGUUCGUUUUUGGUGGAUGGACAGAUGCCUCAGAUGUAUGCAGUGACAUUUAUAUGCUUGAUAUUGGUAUGUU
Long non-coding RNA from Medicago truncatula (barrel medic), 477 nucleotides. RefSeq lists it as uncharacterized. The record is from RefSeq and is a predicted model, not a curated record. The transcript has 3 exons. NCBI's taxonomy places the organism in Eukaryota, Viridiplantae, Streptophyta, Magnoliopsida, Fabales, Fabaceae.